This 963-nucleotide long non-coding RNA is filed under the name Monodelphis domestica (gray short-tailed opossum). Its description in RNAcentral is "lncRNA (ENSMODG00000041049.1)". Lineage: Eukaryota; Metazoa; Chordata; Mammalia; Didelphimorphia; Didelphidae. The record is from RNAcentral.
AUGAUGCAAGGUAAGGUUUUUUGUUUUUGUUUUUUAUGCCAAUUUAGCUCUAGUUUCUCUUUGCAAAAGAAGUUUCUUUUGUUUCUCUCUCUUCCUUCCUUCCAUCCUUGCCUUUUUCCUUCCUUCCUUUCUCUCGCCUAUAUUCCUCUUUCCCUCUCUCCCUCCUUUCCUUCUCUUUUUUCUUCUUUCUUUCUUCCUCUUUCUUCUUUCUUUCCUUCCUUCCUUCCUCCCUCCCUCCCUUCCUUCUUUUCUUUUCUUCUUUCCUUCUUCCUUUCUCCAUGUAUAAGUUCUUCCUUGGAAGAGCUCCUCCGAAGGGGAGAAGGAAGCGGGAGAGGGAGGGAAAGAGAGGGAGGAGAGGGAAAGAAGGAGAAAAGAAAAGAAAAAAAGGGAAGAAGGAAGGAAGGGAGGAGGGAAGGAAGGAAGGAAGGGAGGAAGGAAGGAAGGAAGGAAGGAAGGAAGGAAAGAAAGAAAGAAAGAAAGAAAGAAAGAAAGAAAGAAAGAAAGAAAGAAAGAAAGAAAGAAAGAAAGAAAGAAAGAAAGAAAGAAAGAAAGAAAGAAAGAGAGGGAGGGAGGAAGGAAGGAAGGAAGGAAGGAAGGAAGGAAGGAAGGAAGGAAGGAAGGAAGGAAGGAAGGAAGGAAGGAAGGAAGGAAGGAAGGAAGGAAGGAAUAGGAAUAGAUGGAUGUAAGAGGAUAGGGCAUUCUGGACUUGAGAAGACCAAGAACCAGUGAGGUUAAAUUCUUUGUCCAAAGUCAUACAGGUUGCAAAUAUCAGAGCUAGUAUUUAAGCCCAAGUCUUGGGUCAUUUAGUUUACUUCCCUUUUUACUGCUCUAUUCUUUUAUCAUUAUGGAUAGCCUUUGGGUUCAUGAGGGGAGAAGAAAAGAUUUAGAACAAAUAGUUACAAGAAUGUGAUAAAGAGUCAAUCAAGAAAGAAUAAAAAAAUGUCAAGCAGCCCUGAAACUGCA